This is a long non-coding RNA of Homo sapiens (human), 1576 nucleotides long. NCBI's taxonomy places the organism in Eukaryota, Metazoa, Chordata, Mammalia, Primates, Hominidae. The record is from Ensembl.
AGUUCCCCGGCUGGAUGCGGUGACUGGUGCCAGUGCUCAGGCGCCCGCUGCCCUUGACCUCCCGCCCCGCGAGCCCUAACUCAGCGCAGGAGGACCGGCUGCCGCCGCCGCCGCCGCCAGAGCCUUGGCUGCCCAGUUGCCAGUCCUACCACGGUCGGAGGUAACCUUCCUGGCUCCAGUCACAUGGCCAGAUAAGGUGGUGUGUGUGGGCAUGAAUUAUGUGGACCACUGCAAAGAACAGAACGUGCCCGUGCCCAAGGAGCCCAUCAUCUUCAGCAAGUUUGCCAGCUCCAUCGUGGGGCCCUAUGAUGAGGUGGUCCUCCCACCACAGAGCCAGGAGGUAGAUUGGGAAGUGGAGCUGGCCGUGGUCAUUGGAAAGAAAGGCAAGCACAUCAAGGUGAAGUGGAAAAGGUGGGCUCCCAGGCCAGAGUGCAGCAGAGUCCCCAGCUCCUGCCUCUCCUAGUUCUGACCUCGCUCACCAACACAUGGUGCCAGCUGUCCCUGACACUAGGAAGCAGUCAGCCUCCUUGCUCCCUGACACUGCCUUUCCCUUCACCCACCUUUGGCUGGCUCUGGCUACUAACAUGGGAUAACAGCUUUGAGAUCCCUUGCCACAGGUGUUGGUGUCACCCAUGAUCUAUCCUCCUGUAUGGCCAAAUCCCCUGCCCCCAUAGGCCACAGAUGCCAUGGCCCACGUGGCCGGCUUCACUGUGGCUCAUGACGUGAGUGCUCGUGACUGGCUAACAAGAUGCAAUGGGAAACAGUGGCUGCUGGGAAAAACCUUCGACACCUUCUGCCCUCUGGGCCCUGCCUUGGUGACCAAGGACAGUGUAGCAGAUCCACACAACUUAAAGAUCUGCUGUCGAGUGAAUGGGGAAGUGGUCCAGAGCAGCAACACCAACCAGAUGGUAUUCAAGACAGAGGACCUGAUAGCCUGGGUGUCCCAGUUUGUUACCUUUUACCCAGGGGAUGUCAUCCUGACUGGGACCCCCCCACCUCCACCCAGGUGUCGGUGUAUUCAGGAAACCUCCUGUCUUUCUCAAGGUCUCUGAAGGUCCAGACAGCACUGAUGGCGAGCUUUGGGUCCGCACACUCUGGAAAGAAGAGAGAAGUGAAGGCUCUAGGAGCCUGGGCUGACUGGUUGGGACUCACCGAAGAUCCCUUCUUCCUGGGCGGUGGCCUGCAGGAACUGGAACAGCUGCUCUGUGUAGCCCAACUCUGCAGAAGAGAGAAGACCUAGACCUGGCACCCAGCACAGACACAGCCUGCCUCGAGGACUGCAAGGGAACAAGGGCCUCACCAGUAUCGGGCAGCUGGCCCUGGCGGAGGAAGGCGGCAGCCUGUGCAAAGGCCUUGAGCAGCGGGCUGAGCAGGCGGCAGAGGAAAAGAAAGAAAUCUGGGCAGUGUGACUGCUGGCUGAGCUGGAGGGGACAGGCCGGGGUGAGUGCAGCUCCCCACCGCCUCCCUACCACCUCCCUCCAGGGGCAGCUUUUUGAAACACACCCUGAAGUACCGGCCGUCAGCCUCUCCGAAGUCAUCACUGUCACUAUCAGUAAAGUCCCCACUCGGUUUCCAC